RNAcentral lists this ribosomal RNA (465 nucleotides) under Vreelandella stevensii. RNAcentral describes it as "partial 16S ribosomal RNA". It matches the Rfam family "Bacterial small subunit ribosomal RNA", at positions 338 to 795 of the family's 1533-position model. Lineage: Bacteria; Pseudomonadati; Pseudomonadota; Gammaproteobacteria; Oceanospirillales; Halomonadaceae. The record is from RNAcentral.
CCUACGGGGGGCAGCAGUGGGGAAUAUUGGACAAUGGGCGAAAGCCUGAUCCAGCCAUGCCGCGUGUGUGAAGAAGGCCUUCGGGUUGUAAAGCACUUUCAGUGGGGAAGAAAGCCUUGGGGCUAAUACCCUCGAGGAAGGACAUCACCCACAGAAGAAGCACCGGCUAACUCCGUGCCAGCAGCCGCGGUAAUACGGAGGGUGCGAGCGUUAAUCGGAAUUACUGGGCGUAAAGCGCGCGUAGGCGGUCUGAUAAGCCGGUUGUGAAAGCCCCGGGCUCAACCUGGGAACGGCAUCCGGAACUGUCAGGAUAGAGUGCAGGAGAGGAAGGUAGAAUUCCCGGUGUAGCGGUGAAAUGCGUAGAGAUUGGGAGGAAUACCAGUGGCGAAGGCGGCCUUCUGGACUGACACUGACGCUGAGGUGCGAAAGCGUGGGUAGCAAACAGGAUUAGAUACCCUAGUAGUC